This 305-nucleotide ribosomal RNA is filed under the name uncultured bacterium. RNAcentral's name for it is "bacterial SSU rRNA". It matches the Rfam family "Bacterial small subunit ribosomal RNA", at positions 333 to 655 of the family's 1533-position model. The record is from RNAcentral.
UGUGACCUACGGGGGGCAGCAGUGGGGAAUAUUGCACAAUGGGGGGAACCCUGAUGCAGCAAUGCCGCGUGGGUGAAGAAGCACUCCGGUGCGUAAAGCCCUGUCAGCAGGGAAGAAAAUGACAGUACCUGGACAAGAAGCCCCGGCUAACUACGUGCCAGCAGCCGCGGUAAUACGUAGGGGGCAAGCGUUAUCCGGAUUUACUGGGUGUAAAGGGAGCGUAGACGGCAUGGCAAGUCUGAAGCGAAAGCCCGGGGCUCAACCGCGGGACUGCUUUGGAAACUGUUAAGCUGGAGUGCAGGAGG